GGUCGGUUCAUCUAACGGUUAGGAUACAAGAUUCUCAAUCUUGGCAUGCGAGUUCGAUUCUCGCACCGACUACAA
This 75-nucleotide transfer RNA is filed under the name Prevotella sp. RNAcentral's name for it is "tRNA-Glu". It matches the Rfam family "tRNA". Rfam says of the family: Transfer RNA (tRNA) molecules are approximately 80 nucleotides in length. Their secondary structure includes four short double-helical elements and three loops (D, anti-codon, and T loops). Further hydrogen bonds mediate the characteristic L-shaped molecular structure. tRNAs have two regions of fundamental functional importance: the anti-codon, which is responsible for specific mRNA codon recognition, and the 3' end, to which the tRNAs corresponding amino acid is attached (by aminoacyl-tRNA synthetases). tRNAs cope with the degeneracy of the genetic code in two manners: having more than one tRNA (with a specific anti-codon) for a particular amino acid; and 'wobble' base-pairing, i.e. permitting non-standard base-pairing at the 3rd anti-codon position. The record is from RNAcentral. Lineage: Bacteria; Pseudomonadati; Bacteroidota; Bacteroidia; Bacteroidales; Prevotellaceae.